This 457-nucleotide ribosomal RNA is filed under the name uncultured bacterium. RNAcentral describes it as "bacterial SSU rRNA". It matches the Rfam family "Bacterial small subunit ribosomal RNA", at positions 28 to 483 of the family's 1533-position model. The record is from RNAcentral.
GACGAACGCUGGCGGCGUGCCUAACACAUGCAAGUCAACUUGACUGAAGGAGCAAUCUGACAGUAGAGUGGCGCAAGGGUGCGUAACGCGUAAGUAACUUGCCCCAAGGUAAGGAAUAACGUCGAGAAAUCGGCGCUAAUACCUCAUAAUGCAGCGGAUCCGCAUGGAUAUGUUGUUAAAGGUUUACCGCCUUGGGAUAGGCUUGCGUCUGAUUAGCUAGUUGGUGUGGUAACGGCACACCAAGGCUACGAUCAGUAACUGGUCUGAGAGGAUGAUCAGUCACACUGGAACUGAGACACGGUCCAGACUCCUACGGGAGGCAGCAGUGAGGAAUAUUGGGCAAUGCUCGAAAGAGUGACCCAGCAACGCCGCGUGGAGGAUGAAGGUAUUCUAUAUCGUAAACUCCUGUGAGAGCAGACGAAAGACAGAUUAUUAAUACUGGAUGACUGUAUGCUCA